RNAcentral lists this long non-coding RNA (3258 nucleotides) under Homo sapiens (human). RNAcentral's name for it is "non-protein coding lnc-CHSY1-5:17". Lineage: Eukaryota; Metazoa; Chordata; Mammalia; Primates; Hominidae. The record is from RNAcentral.
AGAGCGCGCAGAGCAAGGCCGCCGCCAGCUCUCCCAGGAACCGUCGCGAGGCGUCCCCUCGGCGGCCGCCUCAGUUUCCCUGGCCGUAAAACGCGGGCGAUGGCGCUCGAUGCCCCGGGAGACGCCGGGGUCCGCGGGCCCUUCCGGCACCGGGUCCUCCUUCAGGUUCGGGCACCCGGCUGCCUCCACGCGGGGCGAGCGCGGCGAUGGGAUCGGUCCGUGCUGCGCUCAGCCCCGCUUUCGCUAUCCCUCUGCUCCAGGGGCAGCAAAAUCAGCAGAUGAGCCCCCAGCGCGCCUGCGGCCCACACACUGCGGCCGUAACAGUUAAACAGACGGGGAACAUUCAUGUGCGUAGAGCUCUUCACGGGGCGAUACAGAAAUGUGUCGUUCUAAAGCGUUAACGACCUGCAAUUUGCAUAUCCUCCAACACAUGGAUUUUACUGAUUCAAUUAUGGAUGUGUGCAAAGAAUCUGCUGCUCGCUAUAUGGGAACACUUUCAGUUUCCCAAGUUAAAACAUGAAAUUGCACAUCAUCAUUUGGAUCCCCAAAGAGGAAAAGAAAAAUUCACAACCUGCCAGUGAAAUACUCAGGCCACUUGGAUGAAGACCGAGGUCCUCCAUAGAAUCCAGGUGUUAUUUACUAACUAAUCAGAAAUUAAUAUCAAAAUAGGACUUAAAAAUAACAAGGCUGUGUUAUUACAGCAGUCUUUCCAGUUGUGUACGCUUUACUAAUCUAAAUUGGGUAACAGAACUGGAGAAAAGGAAGACUACACAGACUUAUCAUAAGCUGUUAGUGAACGUGAUAGAAAUGCGUAAUUUGUUAAAGCGAAUUACAGCUCUGAUUUGUCAAAUGAGGAGGUGAAUUAUCCUAGGAUUUGCUAUGCUGUUGUGGCGUUAGAAGAUUGGAUCUUUAGCAGCAAAGGUAACCUCAACAAUAUUUUCUGCUUAAGAAAGUGCCUUGGUUAAGGUAGACCGUGAUAUCGUCUUUGACUAAGCUCUCUGGGCUAUUGAUUCUGUCAUAUUCCAAAGGCAGUAUUGGUUUGAAGCCGAAUCUCACGGUCAAUGUCAACAUGCAAUCCACAAAGACCCUGGCGCCCUUCCACGGUAUGCACUAACCAAAACUUUCUCACUGUGAAAUCCUUUUUUUAAAAACAAGAAAACAAAAAACAAAAACCAAAAAACCUUACUGUGAAUCCUUUCCCAAGGAAUGGUCCCACCUUCACCUCGGAAAGAGGCGUGGCUUGCUCUGUAAGCAGGUCCACCCUGAGGAGACCGCUGGUGCAAGAGCCCUGCUUGCAGAACACACAGGGGGUUUUCCCACAUUCUUACUGGAGUCAGAUUCGGCAAAGCAUUUCAAGCAACUGCUGGACACUUCAAAUACCACUCCCUGUUAACAACGCCCUGAGUAUCUCACUGUCUCCAGGAUCUGGUUUAAAGGGAAACACAGAAAUGGCCAACAGCUCCCUCCCCAGGCAGGACUGCGAUUUCACAGACAACCUAUAGGCAUCCCCAGUCUGGUGAAUAAACAGGAGAGUGAGAGGAAAACAGCAAUCAUUCAACUCCAGUAGAUGUAAAGCCUCCAGAAGAAUGUGUCCCGGGAAGGUCAGAAAUGUCAUUUUUUUCCUCCAGCACAUUUCAUCUGCCACAUUCCGCCGUCCGAUGUUUGAGGAAGGAGCCCCGCCUUUCCUUCAGGGGUUCUUGUCGCCAAGUUUGAUGGUGACAGUUUUCACUUCUGUGUAUUCGGCCAAAGCGUAUUCACCUCUGUGAUCACAGAAAAGAGGAAAAUUCAAAAUGGGUACAUCCCUUAGCCAUUGUGUAGAAACUGUUCUGAGGCUUCAUCAUUCCAUCAGGCCGUUGGAGGCUUAUGCAAAAGGUUAAAAUGUGACGACCUCAUGGAAUAAUAGCCAGGACUAUAACAGCACUAGUAAGUGUCAGUAGCUGCAUAUGUGACUUAAAUGUAAAUAUCAAGGUCUUCUUCUGUGUGAUGCUUUUGAAAUGGCCAGGACUAAGGGUUUCCCUUUAGAGAAUGAAGGGGAUUUUAAAAAAAGUAAAGAGGUGAAUUCCCUGGGGUGGCAAUAGAGAGCAAAACGAGAGAGCCUGGUGGACGGUGGGGUGUCUGUGAACGAGGGAGGGGCAGAAAUUACACUGGGUUGAUAACUUUUAGAUGGCAAUUGGGAGCUGCUUGAAGAGGAGACAGAAGAGGCAGAGGCCCAAAGCUAUUGGCUGGGGAUGUGGCCAGAGGACCAGUGGGAAGAACACCAAGGGCCUGAAGCUGGCCUCAGAGUGCACAGCUGGGGACCAGCUGUCAGGCAGUGAGGCCAGCCUAGGGGGCAUGAGAGAAGCAGACGUUAGCACAGAGUGGACAUGGGGAGGCCACAGCUUUUGGGUUCACAUCCUUGGUAUAGUUCCUUUCUUUAAAUCUUGCAGGGCUCAGGUGAUCCUUCCCUGGCACCAUGGGCCGUCUUCAGGGUAGCUUCCCUUCCAAGACCCAAGAGGCAGCUUUGGAGAGAUUUAAAUCCUUCUAAGCGCUUGAUCUGCUGUCAGGUGAAGAAAAAUGUGUGCUUGUUUAGGAAGAGAUGAAGGUAGAGGUGGCCACUGGAGUCUCUGUAGUUAAAAAGACCUGUGACAGAAUCCCAUCUCCUCCCUUAGAUCAAUGGUUCUCAAAGUGUGGUCCCCAGACCAGCAGCAUCAGCCUCACCUCUGAACUUGCUAGAAAUGUAGAUUCUCAGGCCUCCCCCAGCCCUACUAUCGUAGGCAGAAUAAGGAUCUCCCCAGGUAUCCAAAAUUGGAUCCCCCAAACCUGUGAAUAUGUUGGGCUACAGAGUGAAGAAUUAAUGUUGCAGAUGGAAUUCAAGUUACUAAUCAAUUGACUUUAAAAGAGGGAGACUCUCCUGGAUCAUCCAGGCAGACCCAGUGUAAUCACAAGGGUCCCCAAAACUGGCAGAAGAAGAGAGGCAGAGCAAAAUGAGAUUAUAGAAACAGGUUCAGAGAGCAGCAGUGCUGGCUUUGAAGAUGGAGGAUGGGGCCACCAGCCUAGGAAUGCGAGCAGCCUCUAGAGGAUGGAAAAGGCAAGGAAGUAGAUUCUCUCCUGAGAACCUCCAAAAAGGAAUGAAGCCCUUGAUUUUAGCUCAGGGAGACCUGUGUCAGAUUUUUAUCCUACAGAACUAUAAGAUAAUAGAUUUAUGUUAUUUAAGCCACUGAUGUUAUGGUAACUUCUUGCAGGAGCAAUAAAAGACUAAUAAACUUACUGAAUCAGAAA